UUCUCUAAGAAAUAACUUAAAGUAAAACCUGCUCAAUGAUAUAGUAAAUAGCUGCAGUAUAACUGUACUAAGGUAGCACAAUCACUUGCUUCUUAAUUAGAAGAUAGUAUGAAUGGUUAAACAUUUAAAAAAUGUCUCUACACCUUAACAAAAUUAAUUUAAGAGUAAAAAUACUCCUAUACAAAAGUAAGACGACAAGACCCUGAUAAACUUAAAAUUUAGUUGGGGAAACAAAACAAAAAAACUUUAAUAUAAUCCACACCCACCUUAAACAUUAAUAAAAGAAUAGUUACUACAGGGAUAACAGCGCAAUUCUUUUCUAGAGAUCAAAUCCAAAAAAGAGCUUACGACCUCGAUGUUGAAUUAUUUAUCCUAAACAGCGCAAUAGCCUAUAAGGUAGUCUGUUCGACCAUUAAAAAUU
RNAcentral lists this ribosomal RNA (421 nucleotides) under Kintaqa satun. RNAcentral describes it as "partial 16S ribosomal RNA". It matches the Rfam family "Bacterial large subunit ribosomal RNA", at positions 1831 to 2596 of the family's 2925-position model. The record is from RNAcentral. Lineage: Eukaryota; Metazoa; Arthropoda; Arachnida; Araneae; Pholcidae.